RNAcentral lists this ribosomal RNA (155 nucleotides) under fungal endophyte sp. AP117. Its description in RNAcentral is "5.8S ribosomal RNA". It matches the Rfam family "5.8S ribosomal RNA". Rfam says of the family: 5.8S ribosomal RNA (5.8S rRNA) is a component of the large subunit of the eukaryotic ribosome. It is transcribed by RNA polymerase I as part of the 45S precursor that also contains 18S and 28S rRNA. The record is from RNAcentral. Lineage: Eukaryota; Fungi.
AAGUUUCAGCAACGGAUCUCUUGGCUCUCGCAUCGAUGAAGAACGCAGCGAAAUGCGAUAAGUAAUGUGAAUUGCAGAAUUCAGUGAAUCAUCGAAUCUUUGAACGCACCUUGCGCUCCUUGGUAUUCCUUGGAGCAUGCCUGUUUGAGUAUCAU